GGUAAAUGUUCAUUACUGCAACUCUUGUGUUUUACCGGGGUGCUUGAGAUACCCGGAUGGGUUGUCAUGUACUGAACAAGACUGGUUACUCGCAUCAAUGCCUCUGUCUCGUCAUUUAACAUUCAAACAAGAACUACCGGAGGCGCGCAAAAUGGGUCUGACAAUUUUUGUGCAGGAAUAACAACUAUAGUAAUUGGAUAACGGGAAAAAGCACAUACAUAGAUCCUAGAAAUACAUACACACCGAUUUUGAGAAUAGGUAUAGGAACUACACGGGUUACUACCAAUGGGCAGUAAAUCCUCAAAGGAGGUCCCGGAAUUAACGGGAGAUGAGAAAUAUAUGCAGGGAAAAGAAAAAAGGAACACCUAUUUUGGCCCGAAAUGGAGGAGUAAGUACCAAUUUGACAGACGUUUAAAAUAUAGAAAAACUGGAAUCAAUGAUUAAACAAAUACAUAGGGUUUGUGGGGACCAGGCAGAUAAACAACGAGCAGAGGGGCUAGACACAGCGAGGGUAUGGUUAGCCGAGGCGAGGAAGAGAGCUGAGGGAGAAAGGAAAAAGAAGGAAGAUGUAAGUUGCCAGCAACAGAGAGCAAUAACUCCCACGGCUCUUCUGGAGUACCCUCAUAAGCCUAAAUUAUAUCCCACCCAGAUAGACGAGGCGUGGAGAGAGAAUCCUGAUGAUGAAACGGUGGGGGUGAGGAGACGGCAGCCAAUGCUUUCUGUCCCACCACCACCACCCCCAUAUGGGGAACCUCCUGGAGCAGAGGGCGGGGUAGAGACGGAUGAGGAUAGGGUAGGGCUAGUUACCAUAGUGAAGGUCAUGAAAGAUUUAACUGAACGAAGACAUAGGAUGAACAAGGGGGAAAGAGGUAGAGACAGGGCUUUACCACUCAGAAGGCUGAAGUCGCAUAACCAGAGCCCAGUGAGGAGAGGAGUAGCAGAGUGGCUGGAUGACGAAGAUGAAAAGGAGGCUAGUCAGUAUCCUCUAAUUGCCGUGCCCAACCCACGGGCUGGGGACGCAGGACAGGAACCUAUUUUAGAAUUGUAUAGGGCAUGGACACAUAGCAAUGUAGAAAGAGCGGUGGAAGGAAUGGUACACCCUAAAACAGGCAUGGAAGUAUUUAGAAGGGAUCUAGAAGGUUUGACAGCCAGCUUCAAGUUAAACACAGGAGAAGUGGAGAGAGCGGUACGGCAGUUGGUGGGGAAGGACUAGGCAGCUGUACGAGGGCAAUGGGUGCCAGGGCAUAACCAUUUAAUUACAGUGCCAUGGGCAGCAGAGGGUGAUUACGUUGUUAAAAUUACAGAAUUGUAUAAUAAUUUGAGGGAUUAUUAUAACCGACACGCAGACUUCUCUAAAGUGUCUGAAUGCAGGCAGGGAGAUGGUGAGACCAUCAGUCAGUGCUUAGAGAGACUGAAGGAUGUGCCAGUGGUUUAACAGAGCCCCCCCCAUAGCAGAUGGUUUUAACACUGCAUAUCACCAGCAGCUGAAGAUAGCUUUCCUCAGCGGAAUGCGCCCCGAGAUUAGCAGUACCAUAAAGAAAACCUUGGUGGGGUGGGGACUAGCAGAACUGGGGGAAGUAAAAAUAUAUACAAUUCAUUAUGAACAGCACGGUAAAAGCGAGGAGACUAAGAAGAAGCUGAAAGGGGCAGAAUACUUGAUGGUCACUCUGGGUGAGAUAGCCAGUGAAUUACAGGAGAAGGUGAUUCACUCAAUCCAACAAGGAGACUGGGGUGUGGAUCCAGUCCAUGAGAAGAAUAGACUGGAAGCAGCCCCGCUGGGAAGGCCCAUACCAGGUUCUGUUAAACCACCGCCUUUGCCAUUAGAAUAGCUGAGAGAGUCACUUGGGUCUACGUUGCCCACUGCAAGGAGAUAUGUACACAUAUAAGCACUGCUGAUCACACACAGAGUUAGGGAGAAGAACUGAGUACCAACAGGGUCCGGGGGUUACCUCUUUAACAAAGAUUUCAUAUCCCGACCCUUCAUCACUGUGGGUGAUCCUAGAAGUGUGAGUAUGGGGUGGUACCUAGCAGACCGACUAAGGGCAGGAGAGGGUUGGCGGUUUUUGGGAAGAGUAGGGGCUCUGAGCUGCAUCCUAGUCUUUGAAACCUUUCUGAUACAUCCAGAUCCACCACCUGCCGGUACUAAUUAUAGGACGCCAUUGUCAUUGAUAAGAAGUAAAAGAUAAACUAUAUAAUACACUGAUAAGAGACUUACAGAAUAAGGAGUCAAAGAAGAUCAAGAUGUAGGAUUUAAGGUAAACAUUAAACAAUUUCCUAGGAAAGCAAAUAACUGUACAGGGAUUGGGAUGGCCAGAUUGAAGUACUCGGCCAACCCACCUCUGUUCCCUUUAACUCCUGAUGAGUACCAGUGUUAUAGAUACAAAAAUGGCACCGAGAACUUAGAUGAUUUUAAUGGCUGAAAGGUAAUAAUUAAUGUGACUGACUUAGGUUUAGAAGUACAGGAGACAAUUCUUAACCUCACAGCACCUAUAAGUGAUGUAGGGUGGGCUCGUACCAGCAAGGGACGCAUAUGUCAGAAACUACCAGAAAGGGUGGUCAAGAACUUGUGCCCCGGGGUUAUUGGUCCAAUAAGUUUGAGUUAGUCAUCAGAGGCCAGUUAUAGGAGGCCAGUUAUAGGAGGCUAAAGUAGGCACAGGAGGAGUUUUGACCAGGAUGGGAGUCUAGAUGGAUGCUAUUGGCAUCCUCAUGGACGUUCCAGAUUAAUACAAAGCUAUGAAUCAAAUAGGUGAAAACUUUAUUUUGGUGGUUGACAAUAAAUAAAAAUGGGGAUUGGAUUAAUGACAUCUAUUAUAAGCAACAGAGAUUUGUGAAUGAGACUGUGGAUGCAGUAAAGGGGUUCUCUGACCAAUUAUCUGCCACCUCCCCCAUGACCUGGUAAAAUAGAUUGACACUCGAUAUGUUAAUUGGCAGAAAAGGGUGGGGUAUGUAGAAUAAUUGGGGAUCAUUGCUGUACGUUUAUUUUUUAAUAACACAGCUCCAGAAGGAUCAAUGACCAAGGCCCUGGCUGGUUUAACCACAUUAGCUCACGAAUUAGCAGAGAACUCAGGGGUGGAUAAUUCUAUUACAAAUUGGUUUGGAAGUAUAUUUGGGAAAUGGAAAAUUGUCAUAAUCACUGUGUUGAGGGCCACUUUCACCUGUAUGAGUGUUUUGGUUCUGUGUGAAUGUCGUUUGAUUCCUUAUAUGAGAGGAUUGAUAACUAGGUCACUGGAGAGGUCAACGACGCAACAGAGGGUGAGAUACGGAACGAUUCCAAGCUCUGACCAGUGGGAUGAAGAAUGCAGACUUCCAGGCCUAGGAGAUGGCUCUGUUUCUUUUCACUAUGAGGAGCCAAUGACUUCGAUUGAUGAAGAUUAAAAUAAAUAUAUUUUAAACAGUUGUGGCCCUCUGGCUGGGUAUCAAUAAUGGCAUGGAUUGGCAGAGCUGUGUAUUGGAUAUGGCAUGGCAUCAUAUUGACCUCUGCAUGAAUACAUUUCCCUGAGAAGUGUAUUAAUUAUAUAGAGAUCUUUUUACUUUGUUUAACUAGGCAAGUCAGUUAAGAACAAAUUCGUAUUUACAAUGAUGGCCUACACCAGCCAAACCCAGAUGAUGCUGGGCCAACUGUGCACCGCCCUAUGGGACUAAUAAUCACGGCCGGUUGUGAUACAGCCUGGAAUUGAACCAGGGUGUCUGUAGUGACUCCUCAAGCACUGAAAUGUAGUGCCGUAGACCGCUGUGCCACCCGGGAGCUCAUGCACCACUCGGGAGCCCAUAUUGAGGAUUUCUUCCCAAGAUAAAUAUCUGUAACACCUUUUAAAUAAGACAUUAGACAUUACACUUGUGUCAUGGCUUCUUUUAUCACAGGGAACACAUUUUUGAUUAGCUGAAUGUUUACUGAGUUUUUUUUACACAAACAGAACAACCCAUUUAGUUUCCCUAUGUAAAGACUAGGCCAACUCUUAGUUUCUCAUGCAUUGCUUGAUGAAUAGGCAAGCGCAAAGUCAGCAAAAGUCAGAAUUGUGAUGGACAAAUCUUUUUUUCUCAAUCCUCUGUCGUUUCUCUUUGCUUAUUUGAGCUGUUCUUGCCAUAAUCUGGACUUGGUCUUUUACCAAAUAGGGCUAUCUUCUGUAUACCUAGUCACAAAACAACUGACUGGCUCAAAUGCAUUAACAAGGCACACCUGUAAAUUGAAAUGCAUUCUCGGCGACUACCUCAUGACACUGGUUGAGAGAAUGACAAGAGUGUGCAAAGCUGUCAUCAAGGCAAACAGUGGCUACUUUGAAGAAUCUCAAGUUUAAAAAAAUGUUUUAUUUGGUUAACACUUUUUUGGUUACUAUAUGAUUCCAUAUGUGCUAUUUCAUAGUUUAGAUGUCUUCCCUAUUAUUCGACAAUAUAAAAAUAUAGAAAAAUCUUGGAAUGAGUAGGUGUGUCCAACCUUUUGACUGUUAUAUAUAUGUAUAUAUUGAAUUGAUUUAAAUUGAGUGAUUUCCUUCUAUGAACUAUAACUCAGUAAAAUCUUUGAAAUUGUUGCAUAUUGCGUUUAUAUUAUUGUUCAACAUAUAUACAUAAUCAAUUCUUUAGGCCCUAAUCUAUUUAUUUCACAUGACUGGGCAGGGGUGCACCGGCAGGGGUGUACCCACUGGAGAGUCAGGCCCAGCCAAUCAGAAUGAGUUUUUCCCCCCAAAAUAGCUUAAUUCCAGAAAUUCUCCUCAGCACACCACCCACCCCCCCUCAGAUGAUCCCGCAGGUGAAGAAGUCAGAUGUGGAGGCUCUAGGCUGGCCGGUUUACAUGUGGUCUGCCGUUGUAAGGCCGGUUGGACACACUGCCAAAUUCUCUAAAACAACUUUGAAGGCAGCUUAUGGUAGAUAAAUUAACAUUCAAUUCUCUGUCAUUAGCUCUGGUGGACAUUCCUGCAGUCAGCAUGUGAAUUGCACACUUCCUCAAAACUUGAGACAUAUGUGGCAUUCUGUUGCGUGACGAAACUGCACAUUUUAACGUGGCCUUUUAUUGUUGCCAGCACAAGGUGAACCUGUAUAAUGAUCAUGCUGUAUAAUCAGCUUCUUGAUAUGCCACACCUGUCAGGUGGAUGGAUUAUCUUGGCAAUGGAGAAAAGCUCACUAACAGGGAUGUAAAUGAAUUUGUGCACAACAUGUGAGAGAAAUGUUGCGUUUAUAUUUUUGUUCAGUGUGUAUAUAUUUAUACUCCGGACUCCGACAUAUGUUCAUCCUAAUAAUUCUAUAUUUCUUAAUUCAAUUUUUUACUUUUUAAUUUUGUGUGUAUUGUUUUAUAUUGUUCGAUAUUACUGCACUGUUGGAAUUAGGAACACAAUCAUUUCUCUACACCUGCAAUAACAUGUUCUAAAUAUGUGUAUUGUUAGGGUCUAAACAAACAGAGUAAAAACUCAAACGGACAACUAGGAAAAACUCAAACCAAGUUUAUUCACCCAAUGGGUCAUACAGCUGCAAAGACAAAGCAUGAUUAGACAAGCACAUCUAUUUAUAACCUCCUACUAGGCGGGGUCAACUCCUUACACAUCUAGACAGCCAAUACAUCUCUGUUUCUAGGCAGGAUCUUAAUUGUUUCCUCUCACUGGUGUAGUCAUGGCCCUGCCUGGUGCUAGAACCUUUGUGGACGGGGAAAUGUAUGUGUGUGAGAUAGGACUGUAGUAGGAGAGUCGUUGUGGUGGGCCCCCCUGUCCCUCCUCCCAGAGGUUCCUACUUUUGACUUGACCUCGAGCCGAAUUCCUCGCUCCUUAUCAAGAACUGAAACUAGCCUGUUGUCCUUUGCCUCCCUCCUUAGGAACAGAAUAUUAGCUUUCUGCACUUCACCUUGUCUCACUCAGUAAUUCCAUACACCAAAUUGCUAUCCAUCCUUCAUUAACCCCAACUUAUACAUUAUUGGACAUGUAAAGUAAUCAAUAAGUGAUGGUAUGGUGACACGAAUAAGUUUAUUUCUAGCAAGAAUCAACAGUAUGCAACCAAUAACAUUUGAUUUUAUGUGGACUGUGUUUACUACUUCUCAUAUGGGAUGAAUGGUAGCCCAAGGCUCUGCAUUUUUUUUUACCUCUAUACUGUAGUAUCAGAGAAGACAGGCACAACUUUUGCUUGUUUUAAAAAAAACAGGAUUUUAUUUUCAAAUUGCAACUUCCCAUCACGCAGUGGCAUCAAGAAUGAAGCAUCACAAGUAAUUACACUGCAUCUUACAGAAGAUUACAUUAUGCUAUCAACACUUUGUUAGAAACAUCAUUAUCUUUAUUUCUCAACAUCCUGUUGUCAAUUUGUUUACUUUUACUCAUUUAUUUUGUUUGAGACUGACAUAUGGUGAAAUUAUAUAUGCUUUACUUUUAGUUCAUCCGAGGAACUAACCGAAUAUGUUAAUGUCCUGAAGAAAAGCCACAGUAUGUUGGUUUUACCCAAUCAGUCUGUCCAUCACCUCUGGCUGAGGGGUUUUUCAACUGGUAAUCAUGUGACUCAAACAGUUAAUGCAUCAGCAACUUUAACCCACCGAAACCAGAGAUGUGGAAAUGUUCAGGGGAAGAAAAAUACAUUCUGAUGGUGUGAAAAGAUAUGGCAAAGUAUCUUAGAAUUUAUUUACAACAUUAGCUUAUUAUUGCACUAGCUCAAAAUAUAAAUAACAAUCACAAAAAAUGUAAUAUUCUCUUAUUUGCUGUACAGGUACUGUGUGCUGAAUUAAGAUUAUUCUAUCAUGUACUAUCUUAGAUAUGAUCAGAAAUGUAUGUAGUUUAAUUAGUGUUUGUAAAGUAAAUGACUGUUAUUGUUAUUAUUUGUAUUAUUAAGGUUCUGGUCUUCUGAGAUACAAACAGGUACACAACAAACCAGAGAACUAUAUAAUUACAGUGCCUUCAGAAAGUAUUCAUACCCGUUGACUUAUUCCACAGUUUGUUGUGUUACAGCCUGAAUUCAAAAUUAAUAACAUUUUUUUAAAACACACCGUGAUCUGUUUCGCCUGUCUUUGUGCUCGUCUCCACCCCCUUCCGGGUGUCACCCAUCUUCCCCAUUAUCCCGUGUGAAUUUAUACCUGUGUUCUCUGUUUGUCUGUUGCCAGUUCGUCUUGUCUCAUCAAGCCUACAAAGCCUGUUUACUUGUUUUCCCGGUUUUGAUCACAAGCCUGUUUACUUAUAUGAGAGGAUUGAUAACUAGGUCACUGGAGAGGUCAACGACGCAACAGAGGGUGAGAUACGGAACGAUUCCAAGCUCUGACCAGUGGGAUGAAGAAUGCAGACUUCCAGGCCUAGGAGAUGGCUCUGUUUCUUUUCACUAUGAGGAGCCAAUGACUUCGAUUGAUGAAGAUUAAAAUAAAUAUAUUUUAAACAGU
Long non-coding RNA from Oncorhynchus kisutch (coho salmon), 7333 nucleotides. RefSeq lists it as uncharacterized. The record is from RefSeq and is a predicted model, not a curated record. The transcript has 2 exons. Lineage: Eukaryota; Metazoa; Chordata; Actinopteri; Salmoniformes; Salmonidae.